GCCGGGCGUGGUCGUGCAUGCCUAUAAUCCCAGCCGCUAGGGAGGCUGAGGCAGGAGGAUCAUGAGUUGAAAGUCAACCUCAGCAAAAGCAAGGCUCUAAGCAGCUCAGUGAGACCCUGUCUCUA
This 125-nucleotide small RNA is filed under the name Marmota monax (woodchuck). The record is from RNAcentral. Lineage: Eukaryota; Metazoa; Chordata; Mammalia; Rodentia; Sciuridae.